UCUCUGCAUCUUGAGAGGGAAGAAGGAAGGAUUAUUUUCUGAAGAGGCGUUUUCUUUGUUUUUAACCUAUAUCCCCAGGCCCCGUCAUCAGAGACCUUUAGCUGUCUGUGCUGGACUCCUCUGCUCCUGUGACAAGGAACAAGGACAGGCUGUUGAAAUGUCAGAUGGUAAAAACAACCAAGAGUUCCAGAUGGGGCAGUCAGAAGAGAAACAUGCCGAAGAUGGUAAUGGGAAAGUUCUGGAUUCUCUCAGCUGGGAGUCCCAUGUCCUCACCUGUGACUUCCCAAACCAAUCACUGUGCAAGCCUUACGCAAAGCAGUAUGCCUUGAGGAAGUUCUUCAUAACCAGGAAAACCGACCCAUUAGCCCAGCACGCGGAGCUCCCCCUCACUGCAGCGGCCAGACAGCUUUUUGGAGGCCUGGCAGACGCAACCUGGGCCAGCACCCUCACUUCAGCACGUGUGGCCAUCAUCCACUGCUUGGUGCAGCAUGUCACGUCUGUGUCUGCAGCGCGUUGUGGUGAGCUCCCUCCGUCACUGACAGCACCUUUCAGCCUUGACAAAACACUUGACAAAACAUCUGCAAGCCCUCCCUCCGCAGAGGAGCACGAGCACUGUGUGCUUCUGCUGCUCUCUGCUCUCUACCUGCCUCAUUCCUGCACCAUCUC
RNAcentral lists this long non-coding RNA (666 nucleotides) under Cairina moschata (Muscovy duck). RNAcentral's name for it is "domestica (muscovy Duck (domestic type)) lncRNA (ENSCMMG00000014247.1)". Lineage: Eukaryota; Metazoa; Chordata; Aves; Anseriformes; Anatidae. The record is from RNAcentral.